GAGUUUGAUCGUGCUCAGGAUGAACGCUGGCGGCGUGCCUAAUACAUGCAAGUCGAGCGAACAGACGAGGAGCUUGCUCCUCUGACGUUAGCGGCGGACGGGUGAGUAACACGUGGAUAACCUACCUAUAAGACUGGGAUAACUUCGGGAAACCGGAGCUAAUACCGGAUAAUAUAUUGAACCGCAUGGUUCAAUAGUGAAAGACGGUUUUGCUGUCACUUAUAGAUGGAUCCGCGCCGCAUUAGCUAGUUGGUAAAGUAACGGCUUACCAAGGCAACGAUGCGUAGCCGACCUGAGAGGGUGAUCGGCCACACUGGAACUGAGACACGGUCCAGACUCCUACGGGAGGCAGCAGUAGGGAAUCUUCCGCAAUGGGCGAAAGCCUGACGGAGCAACGCCGCGUGAGUGAUGAAGGUCUUCGGAUCGUAAAACUCUGUUAUUAGGGAAGAACAAAUGUGUAAGUAACUAUGCACGUCUUGACGGUACCUAAUCAGAAAGCCACGGCUAACUACGUGCCAGCCC
RNAcentral lists this ribosomal RNA (522 nucleotides) under uncultured microorganism. RNAcentral describes it as "bacterial SSU rRNA". It matches the Rfam family "Bacterial small subunit ribosomal RNA", at positions 9 to 514 of the family's 1533-position model. The record is from RNAcentral.